RNAcentral lists this long non-coding RNA (998 nucleotides) under Ananas comosus (pineapple). RNAcentral describes it as "long non-coding RNA (ACOM_LNC017873)". Lineage: Eukaryota; Viridiplantae; Streptophyta; Magnoliopsida; Poales; Bromeliaceae. The record is from RNAcentral.
UAAAUCUUAUAAUCUCUCUAUCCUAGGAUUUACAAAAAUCUAAAUUAAAGUUUUAGUAUAUAUAAAAUAUAAUAAAAUAAAGUUGAUAAGACAAAUAGAGAGUGAGAGAGUUCUAGAAUGGAUGGGGUAUAAAAUGUACACUUACUUUUGAGGUGUAACCUAGUAUUGCUCAAAUAUAAUUUCUAGUACGUAAAAUUGACUUAAAACAUCGAAUAUGUUAUUCACUCUAGAUUAUUGAUCACACUUUUCAUCUAUCAAAUAUUACAUAGUUUUGGAUAAAUUAAAAAAACUACACCAAAUAAGAUGUUUAUAUAUUCGAAUACAGUCAACGAAUUUUUGUACGUGUAAUGUCUGACAUACAACUCAACGAAUUUUUGUACGUCUAAUGUUUGAGAUACAACUCAAAUAUUCUUUUUCCUCACCUUUUGCGGACUAGGAACUACAAUGUAAAAAUGUAGGAUAAUCCACUUUUUAAAUCUUGAGAAUAAGACCACAACUGCAAAUGAACAUAAUAUUAGGAUUUCCAUAAAUAUGGCCCAAUUAAUCAUAUUCAAAUUUAAAUUUACUAUAAAUAAAGGUCAAUCCUGUUAGCUAUAGAACUGUUUGAUAUGAUAUAUCUUAUCCCUUUUCCAUUUAAUUUAAUCUUAAUCAGAUUUUGAUAGAAAAUCGAUUUAAACUCUAUAUAAAAGAGUAUUGGUCCUGCCACAUUUUUAUGUAUAAUAUGAUAAAGAUUUACCAUCGAUUCCACACCAUACACAAAAGUACUUGAGAUAAGAGGAGAAACCAAAUUAUCCAAUUAAGUUCGGUUGGUGUUGUUUAGUCGGACUUCUCGCUUCGCAAGUUAAUCAAAAAAUUUUUCCCUAAGGUGCUCUGUGAGUUAUUUUAGUUUUGUCUAUGAUCCUGAAUUUUGAUAUGUACUUAAUUUUAUUGUUGUUUUAUAUACUUAUAAAGAUCCAUCAAUUGGUAUCAGAGUCUUGGUUGACAAUAUUAAAUAUUGU